CUUCCGUAGGGUGAACCUGCGGAAGGAUCAUUAAAAAUGAAGCCGGGAAACCGGUCCUUCUAACCCUUGAUUAUAAUAAUUUGUUGCUUUGGUGGGCCGCGCAAGCACCGGCUUCGGCUGGAUCGUGCCCGCCAGAGGACCACAACUCUGUAUCAAAUGUCGUCUGAGUACUAUAAAAUAGUUAAAACUUUCAACAACGGAUCUCUUGGUUCUGGCAUCGAUGAAGAACGCAGCGAAAUGCGAUAAGUAAUGUGAAUUGCAGAAUUCAGUGAAUCAUCGAAUCUUUGAACGCACAUUGCGCCCUCUGGUAUUCCGGAGGGCAUGCCUGUUCGAGCGUCAUAAUGACCAAAUCACCCCCGUGGUGGACUUGGAGUUGGCCCGUAUCGGCCUCUCUUAAAAUCAGUGGCGGUGCUCUUAAAGCUCUACGCGUAGUAAUUUUCUCGCUACAGGGUCUUGAUUGUACUUGCCAACAACCCCAACUUAUUAUAAGGUUGACCUCGGAUCAGGUAGGGAUACCCGCUGAACUUAAGCAUAUCAAUAAGCGGAGGAAA
RNAcentral lists this ribosomal RNA (551 nucleotides) under Helotiales sp. WMM-2012c. Its description in RNAcentral is "eukaryotic LSU rRNA". The stretch from base 186 to 339 matches the Rfam family "5.8S ribosomal RNA". Lineage: Eukaryota; Fungi; Ascomycota; Leotiomycetes; Helotiales. The record is from RNAcentral.